UUGGAAGAUGUCGUGCACGACGCCUAAGUUCGUUAUAUAUCACAAUCGCUUGUAUGACCAUUGUCCAAAAUAAACAUAAAUGUUGUCAUCGGCAUCGACGUUGAUUCGUUGUUGAAGCCAUGUUAUAAACUACCACCGUAAACAAAAAUCCAAUAAAAAUUUGUUUAUAAAGAAUAACAUAACAUCAUUACAGAAUAAAAAGUUAACUGUAGCUACAGGAAAAUAUGCACAAUGGACAACGGUUAAU
This 247-nucleotide long non-coding RNA is filed under the name Olea europaea (common olive). RNAcentral describes it as "long non-coding RNA (OEUR_LNC002633)". Lineage: Eukaryota; Viridiplantae; Streptophyta; Magnoliopsida; Lamiales; Oleaceae. The record is from RNAcentral.